This 309-nucleotide unclassified non-coding RNA is filed under the name uncultured Gammaproteobacteria bacterium. Its description in RNAcentral is "contains 16S-23S intergenic spacer region". Lineage: Bacteria; Pseudomonadati; Pseudomonadota; Gammaproteobacteria. The record is from RNAcentral.
UCCGGUUUGUCACCGGCAGUCUCAUUAGAGUGCCCAACUGAAUGUAGCAACUAAUGACAAGGGUUGCGCUCGUUGCGGGACUUAACCCAACAUCUCAGCGAACUCUCGGACAUGUCAAGGGUAGGUAAGGUUUUUCGCGUUGCAUCGAAUUAAUCCACAUAAUCCACCGCUUGUGCGGGUCCCCGUCAAUUCCUUUGAGUUUUAACCUUGCGGCCGUACUCCCCAGGCGGUCGACUUCACGCGUUAGCUUCGUUACUGAGAGUGUCAAACCCCCAACAACCAGUCGACAUCGUUUAGGGCGUGGACUAC